UACGAAGGGGGCUAGCGUUGCUCGGAAUCACUGGGCGUAAAGCGUGCGCAGGCGGUUUUGUAAGCCAGAUGUGAAAUCCCCGGGCUUAACCUGGGAAUGGCAUUUGGGACUGCAAGGCUGGAGUACGGCAGAGGAGACUGGAAUUCCUGGUGUAGCAGUGAAAUGCGUAGAGAUCAGGAGGAAUACCGAUGGCGAAGGCAGGUCUCUGGGCUGAUACUGACGCUCAUGCACGAAAGCGUGGGGAGCAAACAGG
This 253-nucleotide ribosomal RNA is filed under the name uncultured bacterium. RNAcentral describes it as "partial 16S ribosomal RNA". It matches the Rfam family "Bacterial small subunit ribosomal RNA", at positions 524 to 776 of the family's 1533-position model. The record is from RNAcentral.